CGAGUAGACAGGAUGGUCGCUGGCUGACGCGUUCGCGCGGCGGCGAGAGGAAAGUCCGGGCAUCACAGGACAUGGUGCUGGAUAACGUCCAGCGGGGGUGACCCCAGGGAAAGUGCCACAGAGAGUAGACCGCCCUCCGAGCUCUUCGGGGCUUCGAGGGUAAGGGUGAAAGCGUGAGGUAAGAGCUCACGGCGGCCCNGGNGUGACCCGGGGCGGCGGUAAACCCCACCUGAUGCAAGAGUUCUGGAGUUGGCCCUCGGGCCUCGGGUGUCCGUCCGCGCCUCCAGAGUAGUUCGCUCGAGCCCUGAAGCAAUUCAGGGCCUAGAUGAAUGGCCAUUGCCGGCGAGAGGGUGACCGAUCGGCGGUACAGGACCCGGCUUACAGGCUGCUCGGGCU
This 396-nucleotide RNase P RNA is filed under the name Deltaproteobacteria bacterium. Its description in RNAcentral is "RNase P RNA component class A". It matches the Rfam family "Bacterial RNase P class A". Rfam says of the family: Ribonuclease P (RNase P) is a ubiquitous endoribonuclease, found in archaea, bacteria and eukarya as well as chloroplasts and mitochondria. Its best characterised activity is the generation of mature 5'-ends of tRNAs by cleaving the 5'-leader elements of precursor-tRNAs. Lineage: Bacteria; Pseudomonadati; Myxococcota; Myxococcia. The record is from RNAcentral.